Molecule: ribosomal RNA, 2251 nt
Filed under: Escherichia coli
Lineage: Bacteria; Pseudomonadati; Pseudomonadota; Gammaproteobacteria; Enterobacterales; Enterobacteriaceae
Description: partial 23S ribosomal RNA
Rfam family: Bacterial large subunit ribosomal RNA
Source: RNAcentral
CGGGACACGUGGUAUCCUGUCUGAAUAUGGGGGGACCAUCCUCCAAGGCUAAAUACUCCUGACUGACCGAUAGUGAACCAGUACCGUGAGGGAAAGGCGAAAAGAACCCCGGCGAGGGGAGUGAAAAAGAACCUGAAACCGUGUACGUACAAGCAGUGGGAGCACGCUUAGGCGUGUGACUGCGUACCUUUUGUAUAAUGGGUCAGCGACUUAUAUUCUGUAGCAAGGUUAACCGAAUAGGGGAGCCGAAGGGAAACCGAGUCUUAACUGGGCGUUAAGUUGCAGGGUAUAGACCCGAAACCCGGUGAUCUAGCCAUGGGCAGGUUGAAGGUUGGGUAACACUAACUGGAGGACCGAACCGACUAAUGUUGAAAAAUUAGCGGAUGACUUGUGGCUGGGGGUGAAAGGCCAAUCAAACCGGGAGAUAGCUGGUUCUCCCCGAAAGCUAUUUAGGUAGCGCCUCGUGAAUUCAUCUCCGGGGGUAGAGCACUGUUUCGGCAAGGGGGUCAUCCCGACUUACCAACCCGAUGCAAACUGCGAAUACCGGAGAAUGUUAUCACGGGAGACACACGGCGGGUGCUAACGUCCGUCGUGAAGAGGGAAACAACCCAGACCGCCAGCUAAGGUCCCAAAGUCAUGGUUAAGUGGGAAACGAUGUGGGAAGGCCCAGACAGCCAGGAUGUUGGCUUAGAAGCAGCCAUCAUUUAAAGAAAGCGUAAUAGCUCACUGGUCGAGUCGGCCUGCGCGGAAGAUGUAACGGGGCUAAACCAUGCACCGAAGCUGCGGCAGCGACGCUGAUGCGUUGUUGGGUAGGGGAGCGUUCUGUAAGCCUGUGAAGGUGUGCUGUGAGGCAUGCUGGAGGUAUCAGAAGUGCGAAUGCUGACAUAAGUAACGAUAAAGCGGGUGAAAAGCCCGCUCGCCGGAAGACCAAGGGUUCCUGUCCAACGUUAAUCGGGGCAGGGUGAGUCGACCCCUAAGGCGAGGCCGAAAGGCGUAGUCGAUGGGAAACAGGUUAAUAUUCCUGUACUUGGUGUUACUGCGAAGGGGGGACGGAGAAGGCUAUGUUGGCCGGGCGACGGUUGUCCCGGUUUAAGCGUGUAGGCUGGUUUUCCAGGCAAAUCCGGAAAAUCAAGGCUGAGGCGUGAUGACGAGGCACUACGGUGCUGAAGCAACAAAUGCCCUGCUUCCAGGAAAAGCCUCUAAGCAUCAGGUAACAUCAAAUCGUACCCCAAACCGACACAGGUGGUCAGGUAGAGAAUACCAAGGCGCUUGAGAGAACUCGGGUGAAGGAACUAGGCAAAAUGGUGCCGUAACUUCGGGAGAAGGCACGCUGAUAUGUAGGUGAAGCGACUUGCUCGUGGAGCUGAAAUCAGUCGAAGAUACCAGCUGGCUGCAACUGUUUAUUAAAAACACAGCACUGUGCAAACACGAAAGUGGACGUAUACGGUGUGACGCCUGCCCGGUGCCGGAAGGUUAAUUGAUGGGGUCAGCGCAAGCGAAGCUCUUGAUCGAAGCCCCGGUAAACGGCGGCCGUAACUAUAACGGUCCUAAGGUAGCGAAAUUCCUUGUCGGGUAAGUUCCGACCUGCACGAAUGGCGUAAUGAUGGCCAGGCUGUCUCCACCCGAGACUCAGUGAAAUUGAACUCGCUGUGAAGAUGCAGUGUACCCGCGGCAAGACGGAAAGACCCCGUGAACCUUUACUAUAGCUUGACACUGAACAUUGAGCCUUGAUGUGUAGGAUAGGUGGGAGGCUUUGAAGUGUGGACGCCAGUCUGCAUGGAGCCGGCCUUGAAAUACCACCCUUUAAUGUUUGAUGUUCUAACGUUGACCCGUGAUCCGGGUUGCGGACAGUGUCUGGUGGGUAGUUUGACUGGGGCGGUCUCCUCCUAAAGAGUAACGGAGGAGCACGAAGGUUGGCUAAUCCUGGUCGGACAUCAGGAGGUUAGUGCAAUGGCAUAAGCCAGCUUGACUGCGAGCGUGACGGCGCGAGCAGGUGCGAAAGCAGGUCAUAGUGAUCCGGUGGUUCUGAAUGGAAGGGCCAUCGCUCAACGGAUAAAAGGUACUCCGGGGAUAACAGGCUGAUACCGCCCAAGAGUUCAUAUCGACGGCGGUGUUUGGCACCUCGAUGUCGGCUCAUCACAUCCUGGGGCUGAAGUAGGUCCCAAGGGUAUGGCUGUUCGCCAUUUAAAGUGGUACGCGAGCUGGGUUUAGAACGUCGUGAGACAGUUCGGUCCCUAUCUGCCGUGGGCGC